GCUGGGCGUGGUGGCGCACACCUGUAAUCCCAGCUACUUGGGAGGCUGAGGCAGGAGAAUCGCUUGAACCCGGGAGGUGGAGGUUGCAGUCAGCCAAGAUGGCGCCACUGCACUCCAGCCUGGGCAACAGAGCGAGACUCCGUCUCAA
This is an unclassified non-coding RNA of Pongo abelii (Sumatran orangutan), 148 nucleotides long. It matches the Rfam family "Metazoan signal recognition particle RNA". From Rfam's summary of the family: The signal recognition particle (SRP) is a universally conserved ribonucleoprotein. It is involved in the co-translational targeting of proteins to membranes. The eukaryotic SRP consists of a 300-nucleotide 7S RNA and six proteins: SRPs 72, 68, 54, 19, 14, and 9. The record is from Ensembl. NCBI's taxonomy places the organism in Eukaryota, Metazoa, Chordata, Mammalia, Primates, Hominidae.